This is a long non-coding RNA of Coregonus clupeaformis (lake whitefish), 2855 nucleotides long. RefSeq lists it as uncharacterized. Lineage: Eukaryota; Metazoa; Chordata; Actinopteri; Salmoniformes; Salmonidae. The record is from RefSeq and is a predicted model, not a curated record. The transcript is spliced from 12 exons.
CAUGCUCUACCAAUUGAGCUACAGAGGACCACAUUUACUGAUGGAUUACAAUUUUCAGUGUGCCAAACUCUCUAGUUUUGUGGUGGUUAACAAUAUCUCGAGUUAGAACGUAUGCGAUGGUCUAGCUCAGACAAAGAAAACAGAAAGAAAGAUAUCUGAACGUACCCCUUUGAUGAUUAGGGUGGUCGUCAAAAAUGGCUAUUCGUGCCUACUACACCAUCUGUUCCGAUUUCUUCGAUCACUCAAGAGAUGUGGCAGCCAUCCAUUGUGGACACACCUUCCACUAUGAAUGUCUUCUUCAUUGGUUUCAGACUGCUCCCAACAAGACCUGUCCACAAUGUAGAAAACAGGUUAGCACCAGACACAUUAUCAACAAGUUGUUCUUUGACAUUAGUGGUGAAGAAGAGGGAUCCUCUGCUGACCCAGAGAGUUUGCAGAAUGAGCUCAAUAGAAUGAAAGCUGUUUUAAGUACCAAAGAGAGAGACUGAAGGGACAGACUGAAGAUGGUAGAACGCUUGAAGGAGACUGUAGACGGGCAGAAGAAAGACCUGGACAUUGUGAGGAAGGAGAUUGGUGAGAAAGAGAUGCUCUGCUCAGCUCUCAGGGCUGCCAAGGAGGAGGCCCGAUGACUCCAGACGAAAAUAAAACAUGAGAGUCUGGAUGUGGUGUUGCAGGAUCAGAGAGCUGAGGUCGAGUCCAUGAUAUGGGUGUUGGCCAGGCUGCCGUGGAGCAGCUUUCAAUCUACUGCAUUUCUCUCAAGAAAGAGUAUGACAACCUAAAUGGGAGCCUCAGAUCUUCAAACGAAAUGUGAAAAAAUCAAAAGGGAGGUGUUUGCUUCAAACAACAAGGUAAUGGAUGUAAACAAAUCACAUUAAUUGAAAUGUUCUGUGAUAAUGUCGGAUGUGUCUCUCCUUCCAAUUUCAGACUGACUGUCUCUCAUAGCUCUGUAGUUACGUAAAGCCACAAUGGAGAUGAACAGGACCAAGGAUGACAUGAAAGCUGUCCAAAAUGACUUGACCAACGCAGACAGAGAUCACCCCCUGCCCCAGUGGAGCUGAAACAGCCCUGUCUCCACCAGCCUGCCGACAGUGAGGACAUUGACCUCAACAUGACCUUUGACAUCACCACCCCUGACCCGGUGGAUAAGAGGUUGUCACAGGUCCCAUCAAGAAGAUGCCUCUGGACCCAGCCGCUUGAGUCUCCCUCUACAUUGUGUCAUUGACGAGGGACAUAUGCUACUGACACUUAUUUGUUAAUAAACAGUUCUGAUGAAGUAUUGAUCAUAAUUAUCUUAUGUUCUUUGUUUCUCAGGUUGUCGUCCUCGCCGACCAAACACCAUUACAAAGCCUUGUUUGGAAGCAAGGUCAGAGAGGAGGCGGCGUCCAUGGAUACCUUCUUCCGUAACGCCAACCUGUUCAGGAAGAAGACCUUCGGCAGCAUGCUGGACCCCCAGAGGAGUAAACUGGGAGCUGUAGCUUUAACCUGACUAUUGUCUUUCCAUCACAACACUACAGUUACUGUAUGGAGAUUCUGGUCUCUUUCUUACUAUGGGCCUGUUACACAUGUUCAAACCCUCAAUUACAGUAGUCAAGUACAGUGCACUCCACCUAAAGACUUCCAUAACCAGACCCACUUAUUGCCCUUGCCUUCCUGUCUUGUUCCUGACAGCGAUAUUACUAAAUGUAUCACUAUCUCAUAUUCCAGGUCAGAAGUGGUUACGGUGGACUUGCGGGAAGGACCAAAUUCUUCCAGCCUUCUCCUUUGUCAGAGAUUCGCCCGCUCAUGAUGAAGGCCAAGAGGAGAAAAAAAUCCCGACCAGCUCCUCCCAAGAUCUCCACCUGCCUUACUCUUAACAGUUUUCUGGAGUGACCUGUCCAUCCCUUACUGAUGCAUGUGUGUCAGCUGGACCUCUGACACUAGCGACCAGCCCGUCUGGAGCAAUAGAGAGGAGCAACCUGAAUAGGUUUACCGGUCAGGUAAAAAUAACUUGGACCUCUUACUUGAGGGCCUGCUCCAAGCUUUGGGCAUGAAUGGGCAUAGCUGCUAGUUUGAUGAAAAUAUUUGUUUUGGUGUAUUGAGACCCCCUGUCUGUGUUAAGUAAUUUUAUGUUGAGACAUUUUUUUUUUUUUCUAAUUUAUGAUUUUGAGUGUGAGGAAGCGUUAUCUGCUGACUGAAACAAGGGGGACUUUCCUGCAUUAUAUCAUUACUAGCAUCUGUGAAAAGUCAGGCAUUUGACUCGGUUGCACAUUACACAAAUCAAUGUUUUAUCUAUCUUUCGCACUUGAACAUUUCUUGUUUUACUUACACUGUCUGAAUAUUGUAAUACAGAAUUGUAUUGGAUAUUUAGAAGUUGUUUCCCACUUCCCCAGAACAUCAUCCUCUUGUUUCAAGUGCUAUUUUUCUUUUAGAUGCAUACUUUUACUUGUGAUUAAUGCGUAAGAUCUCUUGUUUGUGAAAUAAUAAACUAUCGUUAUUUUCAUAAAAACUGUUGAGUGUGGUGUGUUUAAAACGUUUUCUGUUUCUCCAUUCUACACAGACCUGGAUAAGGGUUUACUGCCAAAUGCAUCUCACUAUGAUACUGUAGUGGAGACAUCUCCACACACUCUAGUCUCCACACUACAGAAUGGUUAGCUUACCCAGUACAGUUCUGUUUUACUGUACAGGUUUAAUCAAUCUCCAGAAAGGGGCAAUGUCAGCAUGAUGGCAGCCUCACUCAAAGGAAGAAAGCUACAGCUGUAGAAGUACAAUGCCUGGGUGGAAUUGUGGGGUACUGUAUGUACUAUUGGGUUUUAUCAAAUGGGGUUGUGAUUAUUCAUAUUUUUGUAUAUAACAGUAAGUAUUAUUUAAUUUUACCC